UUUUAUCCAGCAGCUGGGGGCCUGUGAAAAAAAUCUGGGUAGAUAUGGACAAAUAAAGGGACUACAUUUUCUCUGCAGCGCCCAGAGAACUGUGGGUAAUUUGAGGAUUGGCGCCACCUGUAACGGGCCUGUCGACUCCAGCGCGCGGGAGAAAGGAGCCGGAGCCUCACGGGCUGAAAUCGGCUCCCGGGGGUUUCGGAUGCAGGGCUGUCUCUGGGCAAACCCCGAGAGCCACAGAAGCCGAGGAGAGCUUCACCGAAAGGUCCAGAGGCGGGCUGCUACCCCCUGCGGGAGACGGUCCUCAGCCCUCGCCAAACGCUUCCCGCCAGAGGGCCGGGGAGGAACCUCCUUCGCCAGGACUUCACCGCGCUCCGCCGGCCGCCGGGGUCCCUGGGAAAUGAAGCCAGGCAGCUGCCAGCCGGCCUCCUAACUCCUCCUUCCUCUCCGAUGGAGGGGCUAUGUAAGAAUGAAUAUGAGUGGCAGCUGACAGCCAGCCAGCAACAAAGACCUCAGUCCUACAACCUCAAAGACUGGAUUCUGCCGACACCUUGAAUGAAUUUGAAAGUAGAAUCUUCCCCAGAGCCUUCAGAUAAGAGCCCUGAUGGCUGACAUCUUGAUUUCAACUUUGGAGUACACUGAGCAGAGCCCAGAAGUGCCCUCCUGGAUUCUUCACCUACAGAAAUGUGACAGAGAAAGAGACACAGGGAGGAUGACCACCUAGCACCAGGUCUAUUAAGAUAUUUCUGCAUUUUUCUAAAUUAAUCAUUCCCACACCUGGAGAAACAGAGGACAACAAUUUUUAGCACCUUAUUUAUAAAGGCGGAAAACCCAAAAGCCAGAGAAGGUAAG
Molecule: long non-coding RNA, 849 nt
Organism: Physeter macrocephalus (sperm whale)
Lineage: Eukaryota; Metazoa; Chordata; Mammalia; Artiodactyla; Physeteridae
Exons: 3
Source: RefSeq, a predicted model, not a curated record